This 253-nucleotide ribosomal RNA is filed under the name uncultured bacterium. RNAcentral describes it as "partial 16S ribosomal RNA". It matches the Rfam family "Bacterial small subunit ribosomal RNA", at positions 524 to 776 of the family's 1533-position model. The record is from RNAcentral.
UACGUAGGGUCCGAGCGUUGUCCGGAAUUACUGGGCGUAAAGAGCUCGUAGGUGGUUUGUCGCGUUGUUCGUGAAAACUCACAGCUUAACUGUGGGCGUGCGGGCGAUACGGGCAGACUUGAGUACUGCAGGGGAGACUGGAAUUCCUGGUGUAGCGGUGAAAUGCGCAGAUAUCAGGAGGAACACCGGUGGCGAAGGCGGCUUCUUGGGCCGUACCUGACGCUGAGGCGCGAAAGCCAGGGGAGCGAACGGG